UAGGAUAUGUGAGACCCAGUGUGGGGUUCCU
Molecule: non-coding RNA, 31 nt
Filed under: Mus musculus (house mouse)
Lineage: Eukaryota; Metazoa; Chordata; Mammalia; Rodentia; Muridae
Source: RNAcentral